This 618-nucleotide ribosomal RNA is filed under the name uncultured soil bacterium. RNAcentral describes it as "bacterial SSU rRNA". It matches the Rfam family "Bacterial small subunit ribosomal RNA", at positions 84 to 737 of the family's 1533-position model. The record is from RNAcentral.
AGCAAUACGGAGUGGCAGACGGGUGAGUAACACGUGGGAACGUACCCUUUGGUUCGGAACAACACAGGGAAACUUGUGCUAAUACCGGAUAAGCCCUUACGGGGAAAGAUUUAUCGCCAAAGGAUCGGCCCGCGUAUGAUUAGCUAGUUGGUGAGGUAACGGCUCACCAAGGCUACGAUCAGUAGCUGGUCUGAGAGGAUGAUCAGCCACACUGGGACUGAGACACGGCCCAGACUCCUACGGGAGGCAGCAGUUAGGAAUCUUGGACAAUGGGCGCAAGCCUGAUCCAGCCAUGCCGCGUGAGUGAUGAAGGCCUUAGGGUUGUAAAGCUCUUUCAGCGGGGAAGAUAAUGACGGUACCCGCAGAAGAAGCCCCGGCUAACUUCGUGCCAGCAGCCGCGGUAAUACGAAGGGGGCUAGCGUUGCUCGGAAUCACUGGGCGUAAAGCGCGCGUAGGCGGAUCUUUAAGUCAGGGGUGAAAUCCUGGAGCUCAACUCCAGAACUGCCUUUGAUACUGGGGAUCUCGAGUCCGGAAGAGGUGAGUGGAACUCCGAGUGUAGAGGUGAAAUUCGUAGAUAUUCGGAAGAACACCAGUGGCGAAGGCGGCUCACUGGUCCGG